GACGAACGCUGGCGGCGUGCUUAACACAUGCAAGUCGAACGGAAAGGCCCUGCUUUUGUGGGGUGCUCGAGUGGCGAACGGGUGAUUAACACGUGAGUAACCUGCCCUUGACUUUGGGAUAACUUCAGGAAACUGGGGCUAAUACCGGAUAGGAGCUCCUGCUGCAUGGUGGGGGUUGGAAAGUUUCGGCGGUUGGGGAUGGACUCGCGGCUUAUCAGCUUGUUGGUGGGGUAGUGGCUUACCAAGGCUUUGACGGGUAGCCGGCCUGAGAGGGUGACCGGCAACAUUGGGACUGAGAUACGGCCCAGACUCCUACGGGAGGCAGAAGUGGGGAAUAUUGCACAAUGGGCGGAAGCCUGAUGCAGCAACGCAGCGUGCGGGAUGACGGCCUUCGGGGUGUAAACCGCUUUCGCCCGUGACGAAGAGUGAGUGACGGUAAUGGGUAAAGAAGCACCGGCUAACUACGUG
Molecule: ribosomal RNA, 468 nt
Filed under: uncultured bacterium
Lineage: Bacteria
Description: partial 16S ribosomal RNA
Rfam family: Bacterial small subunit ribosomal RNA
Source: RNAcentral